ACGAACGCUGGCGGCGUGCUUAACACAUGCAAGUCGAACGGAAAGGCCCUGCUUGCAGGGUACUCGAGUGGCGAACGGGUGAGUAACACGUGGGUGAUCUGCCCUGCACUUCGGGAUAAGCCUGGGAAACUGGGUCUAAUACCGGAUAGGAGCCAUUUUUAGUGUGAUGGUUUGAAAGUUUUUUCGGUGUAGGAUGAGCUCGCGGCCUAUCAGCUUGUUGGUGGGGUAAUGGCCUACCAAGGCGGCGACGGGUAGCCGGCCUGAGAGGGUGGACGGCCACAUUGGGACUGAGAUACGGCCCAGACUCCUACGGGAGGCAGCAGUGGGGAAUAUUGCACAAUGGGCGCAAGCCUGAUGCAGCGACGCCGCGUGGGGGAUGACGGCCUUCGGGUUGUAAACUCCUUUCGCUAGGGACGAAGCUUUUUGUGACGGUACCUAGAUAAGAAGCACCGGCUAACUACGUG
This 464-nucleotide ribosomal RNA is filed under the name uncultured bacterium. RNAcentral describes it as "partial 16S ribosomal RNA". It matches the Rfam family "Bacterial small subunit ribosomal RNA", at positions 29 to 507 of the family's 1533-position model. The record is from RNAcentral.